UCAAAAAGACCGUCCCAGUUCGGAUCGCAGGCUGCAACCCGCCUGCGUGAAGUUGGAAUCGCUAGUAAUCGCGGAUCAGCAUGCCGCGGUGAAUACGUUCCCGGGCCUUGUACACACCGCCCGUCACACCAUGAGAGUCGGGAACACCCGAAGUCCGUAGCCUAACCGCAAGGGGGGCGCGGCCGAAGGUGGGUUCGAUAAUUGGGGUGAAGUCGUAACAAGGUAGC
This 227-nucleotide ribosomal RNA is filed under the name uncultured bacterium. Its description in RNAcentral is "partial 16S ribosomal RNA". It matches the Rfam family "Bacterial small subunit ribosomal RNA", at positions 1274 to 1500 of the family's 1533-position model. The record is from RNAcentral.